GAUGAACGCUGGCGGCGUGCCUAAUACAUGCAAGUCGAGCGAACAGACGAGGAGCUUGCUCCUCUGACGUUAGCGGCGGACGGGUGAGUAACACGUGGAUAACCUACCUAUAAGACUGGGAUAACUUCGGGAAACCGGAGCUAAUACCGGAUAACAUGUUGAACCGCAUGGUUCAACAGUGAAAGACGGUCUUGCUGUCACUUAUAGAUGGAUCCGCGCCGCAUUAGCUAGUUGGUAAGGUAACGGCUUACCAAGGCAACGAUGCGUAGCCGACCUGAGAGGGUGAUCGGCCACACUGGAACUGAGACACGGUCCAGACUCCUACGGGAGGCAGCAGUAGGGAAUCUUCCGCAAUGGGCGAAAGCCUGACGGAGCAACGCCGCGUGAGUGAAGAAGGUCUUCGGAUCGUAAAACUCUGUUAUUAGGGAAGAACUAAUGUGUAAGUAACUAUGCACGUCUUGACGGUACCUAAUCAGAAAGCCACGGCUAACUACGUG
RNAcentral lists this ribosomal RNA (497 nucleotides) under uncultured bacterium. RNAcentral describes it as "partial 16S ribosomal RNA". It matches the Rfam family "Bacterial small subunit ribosomal RNA", at positions 28 to 507 of the family's 1533-position model. The record is from RNAcentral.